ACUCCUACGGGAGGCAGCAGUGAGGAAUAUUGGGCAAUGGGCGGAAGCCUGACCCAGCCAUGCCGCGUGCAGGAAGACGGUCCUAUGGAUUGUAAACUGCUUUUAUACGGGAAGAAACACUCCCUCGUGAGGGAGCUUGACGGUACCGUAAGAAUAAGGAUCGGCUAA
This 168-nucleotide ribosomal RNA is filed under the name uncultured bacterium. Its description in RNAcentral is "partial 16S ribosomal RNA". It matches the Rfam family "Bacterial small subunit ribosomal RNA", at positions 335 to 500 of the family's 1533-position model. The record is from RNAcentral.